AAGCGAGCGCAGGCGGAAAAAUAAGUCUAAUGUGAAAGCCCUCGGCUUAACCGAGGAAUUGCAUCGGAAACUGUUUUUCUUGAGUGCAGAAGAGGAGAGUGGAACUCCAUGUGUAGCGGUGGAAUGCGUAGAUAUAUGGAAGAACACCAGUGGCGAAGGCGGCUCUCUGGUCUGCAACUGACGCUGAGGCUCGAAAGCAUGGGUAGCGAACAGGAUUAGAUACCCUGGUAGUCCAUGCCGUAAACGAUGAGUGCUAAGUGUUGGGAGGUUUCCGCCUCUCAGUGCUGCAGCUAACGCAUUAAGCACUCCGCCUGGGGAGUACGACCGCAAGGUUGAAACUCAAAGGAAUUGACGGGGGCCCGCACAAGCGGUGGAGCAUGUGGUUUAAUUCGAAGCAACGCGAAGAACCUUACCAGGUCUUGACAUCUAGUGCAAUCUGUAGAGAUACGGAGUUCCCUUCGGGGACGCUAAGACAGGUGGUGCAUGGCUGUCGUCAGCUCGUGUCGUGAGAUGUUGGGGUUAAGUCCCGCAACGAGCGCAACCCUUGUUAUUAGUUGCCAGCAUUAAGUUGGGCACUCUAAUGAGACUGCCGGUGACAAACCGGAGGAAGGUGGGGAUGACGUCAAGUCAUCAUGCCCCUUAUGACCUGGGCUACACACGUGCUACAAUGGGCAGUACAACGAGAAGCAAGCCUGCGAAGGCAAGCGAAUCUCUGAAAGCUGUUCUCAGUUCGGACUGCAGUCUGCAACUCGACUGCACGAAGCUGGAAUCAGCUAGUAAUCGCAGGUCAGCAUACUGCGGUGAAUACGUUCCCG
This 815-nucleotide ribosomal RNA is filed under the name uncultured Bacillota bacterium. RNAcentral's name for it is "bacterial SSU rRNA". It matches the Rfam family "Bacterial small subunit ribosomal RNA", at positions 563 to 1376 of the family's 1533-position model. Lineage: Bacteria; Bacillati; Bacillota. The record is from RNAcentral.